RNAcentral lists this long non-coding RNA (1163 nucleotides) under Struthio camelus australis. RNAcentral describes it as "lncRNA (ENSSCUG00000007855.1)". The record is from RNAcentral. Lineage: Eukaryota; Metazoa; Chordata; Aves; Struthioniformes; Struthionidae.
CUUCUCUAUGGACACAGAAGAGCUCGGAGCUCAAGUCCGUGAUCAGAAGCCUCCCACUGCAUGGUUACACAACGAGGGUGAAGACCGCUGAACGUCUAGCUUCUGAUGACGUACGGACAGAGGAAAGGCUGAAGAACACCUGCUUUUGCUAGAAAAGAUGAAAAAAAGGUUCAGAGACCACAAGGGUAUUAUGAGAAAAGAAGUCCUGCAGUGGAAAGUUUAUUCCGUUCCACUGGAUUACAAAUUCCAUGCACAAGACGCAGCCUCAGUAGUAAGAUAAACUGGGAAAAAUACUACCAAAUGCUCCCCGCGCCUCUUCCUGACAGAGAAAUCAAGUCCAGCGGUCUCAAGCUCCACAGUUACCACUGGUAGAAAUCCCUGGAGACCCAUGUAAAGUUGCACCCUAGGAGUUACAUCUUCACACAGUCUACACUGAACAGCUUCUGGUUCUGACCAUGCCUAUGACUGAUCACUUGUAUUUUGGGCAGAACUGGGUAAACUUAUCUUCUCACCCUUCUAUCUGAACAUUCAAGAUGGAAGAAAGGGUUUUAAAGACUUACCUCAUUAUUCCAAAAUGUUUUAUUCAUCAAGGAAUACAAUAAUGUCAGAGGAAGAUAUAAACUCACUCUUUGCUAACUAUUACUCACCUCUGUGAUGAAUAGAAGGAACUCCUACUUACCUUAUCACCAAAAUACAGAGCUUUCUGUCAUUAAGUGGCUUUCUUAGAUCUUUUUAAGCAGCAAGUUUUGCAUACAAAAUUAUUAAAUCCUACAGGAUUAGAAAAAAAGCACCACCCCCUGUCCAGAUAAAUUUGAUAUGAGCUUCUUUGAAAAUUGCCUAGUAGUUAACGGCAAUAUACUUCAAGGAGCAAUUACAUAAAAUUCUAACCACAGGAAAAGCUCUCUUUCCGUCAGUGCCCAUCAAAUACGUUAUUUCUAAAUUGGCUCCUGUGUUUUUAUUAAAUCCUUUCUUGAGAUCUGAGUUUUGAUCCCUAACUCUCAAAAUUGAUUAUUUGUCACUAUAUUUGAUGUUAAAGUCAUGUAUUACUACAGCUUUUAUAACUGUUCCUUUUCACUGAAACCUGUGAACACACCCACAAAACCCAACCCAGAAGUCCGACAGAUAUUUGUUUUCUCACCCUGCAGCUCCUCUUUCUGACUAUG